AGCCACAUAAAUGGUAUGAUCCCACAAACUUUUUACCCCUUAAAUUUUUGAGACCACAAAUUUCAAAAGUAUUCUUUUUUUCUUAAACUCUGUGCCGAGUUAGCUCAAACAAUAUGAAACGAAAGGAGUAUUAAAGUAGCCUUCUUUCUCAAGAACCAAGUUCCAGCCAUGUAAAACCCAACAGAAACUGCUUUUAAGAGCUCCAAAGUUGGCCCUGAAACUCAACUGAAAACUAUACUGGAAAACCACUAAAAAUCAGCCUCCAAAACCCACCGUUUCAGCCCCAAAAAUGCAGCCGAAUCCAGCAGCAAAAUUGUUGAACAAGCCAGUACGAAAUACUAGCCAAACACCUCAUUUUCAACUCUAAAAAGCCAUGAAACACAGCUCAAAAACUAGCUGUAAAUUCAUCCAAACACAGCCUCAAAAUCUUUCAAAACACAGCUCCAAAAUGAGCUCAAGCCCCUCCACAAAGAGCUGCGAAACUCUGAAAAAGAGCAACCAAAAACAUCACCCAAAACCCACCCAAACUAGCUGGAAAUUCCAGCUCCAAAAAGCAGCGAAAAAGUCCUCAAACCCAGCGAAACUAUCCAUGUCCAGCACCCUUUUUCAGCCCGUUAUCACAACUCCAUAAUCAGCCAAAAAACCAUCCGCAACAGCGCCAAAACAGCAGUAGAGAUCAGCUGCUAACAACCCCAAAAUCUAGCCUUAAUGCUACCCAAAACCAAGACUAAAAGACCCUUGAGACAACCUGAGACUUCUCCACUUUUCAGUCAAUUUCGUGCUUCCGACAAAUUUGUGCCGUUGGAGGUUCCCGGUGGUGGUCUUUGCUCUUGGUUUGAUUAUCUAGUAGCAACGAUUUUAAUGUUUGGGCUUCAAUCGACUUGGAGCCAAAUUCGAGAGGAAAAGCGGUAAUUAUGGAUUGAGUUGGUUGUGGAAGUUCGAGGUAAGUGUUUGGUCUAUCCAUAGCUUGAACUAUUAGAAGUUGUGUCCUAUUUGCUAUUUGUUCCUUGUUGAAUACGACGUAUAGGUAUGGUGACGAGUAUCUAUACGUUGGUGUCAAGCAUGACCGUGAGUCUUCUACUAUAAUUUUCAUGAGUUCGUUGUAUUAUUCUUGCAUUGGUGAAGAUUUUUAUUUGUUGUGUAAAGUUGUGGAAAGAAUUGUAUCUUAUGAACAUUGAAGAGCGACGGCUCCAGCUGUGUAACGAAUUGUGAAUGUAUAAGUGAUAAUUGAAACUCUAGAGCAUUGGCUCGAGUUGCAAAGUGAAUUGUGAAGUGAAAGUGAGAAAGAGAAG
RNAcentral lists this long non-coding RNA (1292 nucleotides) under Nicotiana benthamiana. RNAcentral's name for it is "long non-coding RNA (NBEN_LNC021522)". Lineage: Eukaryota; Viridiplantae; Streptophyta; Magnoliopsida; Solanales; Solanaceae. The record is from RNAcentral.